RNAcentral lists this ribosomal RNA (431 nucleotides) under uncultured Streptococcus sp. RNAcentral describes it as "bacterial SSU rRNA". It matches the Rfam family "Bacterial small subunit ribosomal RNA", at positions 948 to 1381 of the family's 1533-position model. The record is from RNAcentral. Lineage: Bacteria; Bacillati; Bacillota; Bacilli; Lactobacillales; Streptococcaceae.
AAUUCGAAGCAACGCGAAGAACUUACCAGGUCUUGACAUCCCGAUGCUAUUUCUAGAGAUAGAAAGUUACUUCGGUACAUCGGUGACAGGUGGUGCAUGGUUGUCGUCAGCUCGUGUCGUGAGAUGUUGGGUUAAGUCCCGCAACGAGCGCAACCCCUAUUGUUAGUUGCCAUCAUUCAGUUGGGCACUCUAGCGAGACUGCCGGUAAUAAACCGGAGGAAGGUGGGGAUGACGUCAAAUCAUCAUGCCCCUUAUGACCUGGGCUACACACGUGCUACAACGGUUGGUACAACGAGUUGCGAGUCGGUGACGGCGAGCUAAUCUCUUAAAGCCAAUCUCAGUUCGGAUUGUAGGCUGCAACUCGCCUACAUGAAGUCGGAAUCGCUAGUAAUCGCGGAUCAGCACGCCGCGGUGAAUACGUUCCCGGCCUU